AGCGAACGUUUGCGGCGGGCCUAACACAUGCAAGUCGAACGAGAUCUCGGGCUUCGGUCCGGGUGAAAGUGACGCACGGGUGCGUAACACGUGGGUAAUCAACCCUUUGGAUCGGGACAACCCGGGGAAACUCGGGCUAAUACCGGAUACGUCGUCGGAGCUCUAGGGCUCUGACGGGAAAGGCCUGCAAGGGCUACCAGAGGACGAGCUCGCGGCCCAUCAGCUAGUUGGUGAGGUAAUGGCUCACCAAGGCGAAGACGGGUAGCUGGUCUGAGAGGAUGAUCAGCCACACUGGAACUGAGACACGGUCCAGACUCCUACGGGAGGCAGCAGUGGGGAAUAUUGCGCAAUGGGCGAAAGCCUGACGCAGCCACGCCGCGUGUGCGAUGAAGGUUUUCUCGGAUCGUAAAGCACUGUGGGGGGAGAAGAACAAAGCUGGUGAAGAGCCAGCCCUGACGGUAUCCCCUUAGCAAGCACCGGCUAACUCCGUGCCAGCAGCCG
RNAcentral lists this ribosomal RNA (501 nucleotides) under uncultured bacterium. Its description in RNAcentral is "bacterial SSU rRNA". It matches the Rfam family "Bacterial small subunit ribosomal RNA", at positions 29 to 517 of the family's 1533-position model. The record is from RNAcentral.